This 218-nucleotide ribosomal RNA is filed under the name uncultured bacterium. RNAcentral's name for it is "partial 16S ribosomal RNA". It matches the Rfam family "Bacterial small subunit ribosomal RNA", at positions 32 to 229 of the family's 1533-position model. The record is from RNAcentral.
AAUCAACGCUGGCGGCGUGCCUCAGACAUGCAAGUCGAACGCGAAAGUUCCCUUCGGGGAGCGAGUAGAGUGGCGCACGGGUGAGUAACACGUGGAUAAUUUACCUUCGGGUGGGGAAGUAACAACCGGAAACGGUUGCUAAUACCGCAUAAUGCAGCGGCAUCUAUGAUGACAGUUGUUAAAGCGGGGAGUCGCAAGACCUCGCGCCUGAAGAGAAG